Non-coding RNA from Henosepilachna vigintioctopunctata, 70 nucleotides. The record is from the annotation of a GenBank genome assembly. Lineage: Eukaryota; Metazoa; Arthropoda; Insecta; Coleoptera; Coccinellidae.
GUCUCAUUAGCGCAGUAAGAGAGUGACGGCCCUCACGAGGGAGAUCUGGGUUCAAAUCCCAGAUAAGACA